Molecule: ribosomal RNA, 253 nt
Filed under: uncultured bacterium
Lineage: Bacteria
Description: partial 16S ribosomal RNA
Rfam family: Bacterial small subunit ribosomal RNA
Source: RNAcentral
UACGAAGGGGGCUAGCGUUGCUCGGACUUACUGGGCGUAGAGCGCACGUAGGCGGCUUCUUAAGUCGGUGGUGAAAUCCUGGAGCUCACCUCCAGAACUGCCUUCGAUACUGGGAAGCUCGAGUCCGGGAGAGGUGAGUGGAACUGCGAGUGUAGAGGUGAAAUGCGUAGAUAUUGGGAAGAACACCGGUGGCGAAGGCGGCUCACUGGCCAGUUUCUGACGCUGCAGCGCGAAAGCGUGGGGAGCAAACAGG